CCCAACUCAUGUCGCGGCCCGUCAGGAAUCCAUUGCUCCUUAACAACCCUAUCUCUUCUCACCUCGAUCUGCCCACCGCCGCCGCCGCCGCCACCACUUUGCGACUCGCACCCGCAGCCACCUCCGCGCGCCCGCGCCGGCGCUCCUGCCCACCUCCAGGCGGCUCCGCGCGCCGGCCCCCUCGUCCCCACCCCCCGCGGGUGGCUGCGAGCGCACCAGCACCCUCGCCCCCACCUACUGCGGGUGGCUGCGAGCACAGCAGCGCCCUCGCCCUCACCCACCGCUGUGUGCCUCCGCACGCCUGCGCCCACCGCCGGGCGGCUGCGCGCGUGCCGGCGCCCUCGCCCCCACCCACCGCCGCGCAGGGCUUGCUGUUUGUUUUUGCUUUUGCUGUCCCAGGGCUUCUCCCGGAGGGGUUGCAGAAGACGCGGGCUAGGCUACAACAAGAUAUUGCUAAAUGUUCAUAGUUGAGUGGAUCCAGCCGUGGCAACGGGGGAUCUAGCCGCCGAUGCCGGAAAAGGCCCAUCUGUCUCUUCCCAAGGACUACAAAACUUGGCCAGGUCAUUAUCUGCAAAGCAAUUUGGUCAGUUUCUGAUAAGAUAAACUGAGCUUGAUUUAGUUUUUCAAGAGACAUAAAUGCAGUGAAAUUGAACUUGUAGCUGUACUUGGACACAUGAAGCGAAUGAAAUAUAUUUAGAGUAAAGUUUCAAUACUUUAUGAAAUAGCAUAGACAAGAAAAUGUGAUGCUUCAAUGUGGGAUUUUGUACUUAUCUAUUCAUUCUGCUGAUAUCUGAAGGUGAGUGCCUUUAUCUUAUCGACACUCCUUUUUUUCUGAAAGUGACUAGUGACCCUAUGUGCUCUUCAAUUGAAGUUUGUUUCUUGUUCAGAAUGGGUUAAUGUUUAACUGAAUUUCAGUUUGUAAUAUGCAUGCUUUGACUUAAGUUGAAAGUUUUUUUCAUUUCAGAACUAGAUAUAUACAGCAGGGUGCAUUGGUGAUUCAAUCACUACUAGUUCUUUUAAGGUUUGUCAACUUGAACAAGUACUGCUAUCUGAUCCAUUUAAUUUGGUCACGGCCAGGUACAAAGAUACAACAGAAUGGUGAAUGGAGCGCUGGUGAUCUUCAUGAUGCUAAAGCUCAACAUCAAGGUGAACUUCAGUUAAACUUUUUGCCGAGUUAACUUUAGUUUUAUUAAUUGAGUUAUGUAUACAUAGAGUUAGAAUUUAAAGCAACAUGUCAUAUUAAGUUCUCUUCAAUAAUGUAUAUUUAGUACAGUUAUCAUUUGCUUAGUUUAUGCCAUAUCUUGAUGGAUGGCUUGUAAUCUUUAUGUAUAAGUAAUUUUAGUGGACAUGUAUAUGGAACAACAAUUGGUUGAUGGCUUGUAAUCUUUAUGUAUAAGUGAUUUUAGUGGACAUGUAUAUGGAACUACAAUUGGAUCUGAUGGAGCUGAGAAAUUGUGAUUACAGAUGA
Long non-coding RNA from Panicum virgatum (switchgrass), 1468 nucleotides. RefSeq lists it as uncharacterized. The record is from RefSeq and is a predicted model, not a curated record. Lineage: Eukaryota; Viridiplantae; Streptophyta; Magnoliopsida; Poales; Poaceae. The transcript is spliced from 3 exons.